GAUGAACGCUGGCGGCGUGCCUAAUACAUGCAAGUCGAGCGAACAGACGAGGAGCUUGCUCCUCUGACGUUAGCGGCGGACGGGUGAGUAACACGUGGCUAACCUACCUAUAAGACUGGGAUAACUUCGGGAAACCGGAGCUAAUACCGGAUAAUAUAUUGAACCGCAUGGUUCAAUAGUGAAAGACGGUUUUGCUGUCACUUAUAGAUGGAUCCGCGCCGCAUUAGCUAGUUGGUAAGGUAACGGCUUACCAAGGCAACGAUGCGUAGCCGACCUGAGAGGGUGAUCGGCCACACUGGAACUGAGACACGGUCCAGACUCCUACGGGAGGCAGCAGUAGGGAAUCUUCCGCAAUGGGCGAAAGCCUGACGGAGCAACGCCGCGUGAGUGAUGAAGGUCUUCGGAUCGUAAAGCUCUGUUAGUAGGGAAGAACAAAUGUGUAAGUAACUAUGCACGUCUUGACGGUACCUAAUCAGAAAGCCACGGCUAACUACGUG
RNAcentral lists this ribosomal RNA (497 nucleotides) under uncultured bacterium. RNAcentral describes it as "partial 16S ribosomal RNA". It matches the Rfam family "Bacterial small subunit ribosomal RNA", at positions 28 to 507 of the family's 1533-position model. The record is from RNAcentral.